Seriola aureovittata is the source of this 458-nucleotide long non-coding RNA. RefSeq lists it as uncharacterized. The record is from RefSeq and is a predicted model, not a curated record. NCBI's taxonomy places the organism in Eukaryota, Metazoa, Chordata, Actinopteri, Carangiformes, Carangidae. The transcript is spliced from 4 exons.
AUCGCACUGAACUGAAGAAACGACUUACCCAGCGUCACUCUGCAGAACAGCAUCUGCCUGUAAAAUCAAGGACACACACGCAGAUUGAAACUUUUAAUGGAUUAUGCAGGAACACCGAUUUGCACCAAACCUGGUGGAGGGAUGGGGCACGGGCCAGGGAAGAACACAUUCAACUUUGGUGCUGAUCCGGUUAAAGAGGAGAAUGAUGGAUGUCGAUGAAACAGUGACUUUGGAAUACCACUGCCAAACUGGAACUCCUUGUCAUCCGGUGCAAGGUCGAUCAGCACAGUGCCCUGGCUGGAGCAGUGGAACGUCAGGUAUGGGUUUGCACCUACAAACGCACAUUUCGAAAGUGAAUCAAGCGAAGAAUAAAUGACGCCACUGAGCUUUCAGGUAUCUCGUCCACAGAUCAUGUAUUCGAAUUUCGAAUCAUGUUAACACUUUAAGUUUAUGGCCUA